RNAcentral lists this unclassified non-coding RNA (354 nucleotides) under Hevea brasiliensis (rubber tree). The record is from RNAcentral. Lineage: Eukaryota; Viridiplantae; Streptophyta; Magnoliopsida; Malpighiales; Euphorbiaceae.
CAAAUCCGCGCUCCACAGCCAACCCCAAUCGAUCGACUUAAGAAACAAAACACCAAACGGAAUCCAAACGGCACCUUUGAGUUGGCAAGAAAUUUGCGCUAUCGAUCGCAAGAACGGAAAACCCAAAUAGCGUCCAAGCCGUACAAUGAUCGAAGGCAAUAGAAAGCUGAACAGAGCACCCAGAGAAAUUGAAUGCGAGUAGAAGCAGAAUGCAAGAAAAAUUAAGAAUCUUUAGCGCAAUAAAUUGGAGAAGAAGGAAAUAUUGAAACAAAAAGAAAUUAGGUAUCGCCUCGCAGGGAGAUGAAACUCAGAGAGGGACAGAGAGCUUUGAGUGCUUUGGCUUUACAGGGAAAG